AUUGAACGCUGGCGGCAUGCCUCACACAUGCAAGUCGAACGGCAGCACGGGAGCAAUCCUGGUGGCGAGUGGCGAACGGGUGAGUAAAGUAUCGGAACGUGCCCAGUCGUGGGGGAUAACGUAGCGAAAGUUACGCUAAUACCGCAUACGAUCUAUGGAUGAAAGCGGGGGAUCGCAAGACCUCGCGCGAUUGGAGCGGCCGAUAUCAGAUUAGGUAGUUGGUGGAGUAAAGGCUCACCAAGCCGACGAUCUGUAGCUGGUCUGAGAGGACGACCAGCCACACUGGGACUGAGACACGGCCCAGACUCCUACGGGAGGCAGCAGUGGGGAAUUUUGGACAAUGGGCGAAAGCCUGAUCCAGCCAUGCCGCGUGCAGGAUGAAGGCCUUCGGGUUGUAAACUGCUUUUGUACGGAACGAAAAGGUUUGGCCUAAUAAGCUGAGCUCAUGACGGUACCGUAAGAAUAAGCACCGGCUAACUACGUGCCAGCAGCCGCAGUAA
This 500-nucleotide ribosomal RNA is filed under the name uncultured bacterium. RNAcentral describes it as "partial 16S ribosomal RNA". It matches the Rfam family "Bacterial small subunit ribosomal RNA", at positions 30 to 523 of the family's 1533-position model. The record is from RNAcentral.